RNAcentral lists this transfer RNA (71 nucleotides) under Blastococcus fimeti. RNAcentral's name for it is "Blastococcus sp. DSM 44205 tRNA_Pseudo_TCC". It matches the Rfam family "tRNA". From Rfam's summary of the family: Transfer RNA (tRNA) molecules are approximately 80 nucleotides in length. Their secondary structure includes four short double-helical elements and three loops (D, anti-codon, and T loops). Lineage: Bacteria; Bacillati; Actinomycetota; Actinomycetes; Geodermatophilales; Geodermatophilaceae. The record is from RNAcentral.
ACGGGUAUGAUGAAAUGGUAUCAUUACUGUCUUCCAAAUAGUCCUUCUCAGUUCGAAUCUGAGUGUCCGUA